Molecule: ribosomal RNA, 230 nt
Filed under: uncultured bacterium
Lineage: Bacteria
Description: partial 16S ribosomal RNA
Rfam family: Bacterial small subunit ribosomal RNA
Source: RNAcentral
AAAGCGUGCGCAGGCGGUUUUGUAAGACUGUCGUGAAAUCCCCGGGCUCAACCUGGGAAUGGCGAUGGUGACUGCAAGGCUAGAGUUUGGCAGAGGGGGGUAGAAUUCCACGUGUAGCAGUGAAAUGCGUAGAUAUGCGGAGGAACACCAAUGGCGAAGGCAAUCCCCUGGGCCUGUACUGACGCUCAUGCACGAAAGCGUGGGGAGCAAACAGGAUUAGAUACCCCAGU